Molecule: ribosomal RNA, 497 nt
Filed under: uncultured bacterium
Lineage: Bacteria
Description: partial 16S ribosomal RNA
Rfam family: Bacterial small subunit ribosomal RNA
Source: RNAcentral
GAUGAACGCUGGCGGCGUGCCUAAUACAUGCAAGUCGAGCGAACGGACGAGAAGCUUGCUUCUCUGAUGUUAGCGGCGGACGGGUGAGUAACACGUGGAUAACCUACCUAUAAGACUGGGAUAACUUCGGGAAACCGGAGCUAAUACCGGAUAAUAUUUUGAACCGCAUGGUUCAAAAGUGAAAGACGGUCUUGCUGUCACUUAUAGAUGGAUCCGCGCUGCAUUAGCUAGUUGGUAAGGUAACGGCUUACCAAGGCAACGAUGCAUAGCCGACCUGAGAGGAUGAGCAGCCACACUGGAACUGAGACACGGGCCAGACUCCUACGGGAGGCAGCAGUGGGGAAUAUUGGACAAGGGGCGAAAGCCUGAUGCAGCAAUACCGCGUGAGUGAUGAAGGCCUUCGGAUUGUAAAACCCUUUUGUUGGGAAAGAAAAGCAGCAGGUUAAUACCCCGAUGUUCUGACGGUACCCAAAGAAUAAGCAACGGCUAACUUCGUG